GAAUCCUCCCUCCAGGUCACUGGGAGCUUCAAUUCCUUAGAAGAAAGAAAGAGAUGACUCCCGCUUCAUAGUCCAGGAAAAUCCCCACACACCGUGGAGGCUCUUUAAGGCGGAAGGAGGUCUGCGGGGAUGUGAGAGCUUCAUACUCAUUCCCACGACUCUGUCGCAGAAGCCAGUGUCCAUUGGCAGAAGCAACUAUCACUAUACUAUGAAGUAGCCCAAGCCCUUCACCAGAUACAGUCGCCCAGUCUUGGACCAUCCAGCCCCAAGAACCCUGAGCUAAAUAAACCUCUUUCCUUGAUAAAUUA
Molecule: long non-coding RNA, 308 nt
Organism: Pan troglodytes (chimpanzee)
Lineage: Eukaryota; Metazoa; Chordata; Mammalia; Primates; Hominidae
Exons: 3
Source: RefSeq, a predicted model, not a curated record